GUCUACAGCCAUACCACCCUGAACACACCUGAUCUCACCUGAUUUUGGAAGCUAAGCAGGGUCAGGCCUGGUUAGUACUUGGAUGGGAGAGAGGGGCCAGUUUUCUGUGACA
RNAcentral lists this ribosomal RNA (112 nucleotides) under Microcebus murinus (gray mouse lemur). The record is from RNAcentral. Lineage: Eukaryota; Metazoa; Chordata; Mammalia; Primates; Cheirogaleidae.